CCAACUGCUCCUGAGCCUAACCAAUAAAUGUUGAUUUAUUUUUUUGUACAUGUGAUGGCAGAUGUGGACCUUGAGAUGAAUUCUGAAGGCAAAGAAUGAUAUUCUCCUUUGAGACCUUUGGAUGAAAUGCAUGAUGUUAUGCACACUAGUCUUUUUCGCAGCACUGCAUCUGGUUGAAAAUCGGUUAGGCACUGAGGUAAACUCCCUAUGUUAACACUAGAAGACCACAAGCUUUAUGAUGGAAGAGUGUGUGCCCUCACCUGAUAUCAAUUUAAAGAGAUAACCUGUUGGGUGGAAAUUAUUGUGUCAUUAUUCUCUUCAAACAGAAUGAACUCUUCUUAAAAUCAAAGAUAUCAAUAGGUGUGCCUGGGCAACCUUUUGGAUUAUAUAUCUAUGAAAAAUGGAGGAAUCAUCCUGAUGUAAAAGCAAAAGGUGCUUACAUUUGUGCUGGCAGCAAUAGAGAUGGUACAACAUCACACAAUGGAUCCUGGAAGCAGAUGAGUGUCAAAACAGCAUGAAAAACCCUUCUCUCACAGUGCUAAGGCUUUCCAAAUUCCCCUAGAAUAACAUACACAAUCAUUUCUGUGAAAUCAAAGCUAAUAUCCGUGUCACUCCUUCACAAAGGAAAGUAGAUGCAGACAGGAACUAAUCACCCUGUCCAGUUUAAAAUAGAGAAAUCAUCCUUUUGUUUUAGCAGAUUUCCUCUACAAUAUGUUGUUCUUGCAUGAAAACAUGCUGUGUAUAAAAUGGUUGCAUGAAAGGGUUAGCAGUUUUGAGACACAAUGGUGGACAUUGUUGAGGUUAUAACAAACAGUACAUUUAGUAAUGGAAGAGUAGGGUGUGGGUGAUGAUAUUUGGAGAUCUAGCACACCUUAGUGGAAACAGUUAGUAAUACAACGAACAUCAGGGUUUUUUGUUUUGUUUUUUAAUUUAAGACCUAGGCAAUGCUGGAGACAACUGCAUUUAAUCUGAUCUAGUUUUUAAUAAUUU
This 990-nucleotide long non-coding RNA is filed under the name Chrysemys picta bellii (western painted turtle). RNAcentral's name for it is "lncRNA (ENSCPBG00000028353.1)". Lineage: Eukaryota; Metazoa; Chordata; Testudines; Emydidae. The record is from RNAcentral.